Molecule: non-coding RNA, 466 nt
Organism: Arachis ipaensis
Lineage: Eukaryota; Viridiplantae; Streptophyta; Magnoliopsida; Fabales; Fabaceae
Source: RefSeq, a predicted model, not a curated record
CCUAACGUCACGCUCAAAUAGAGGACGAAUCAUCGCAAGCGCCGUCAUUUCCUCCUCCUCUCGGUCAAGCCGUCAUCUGCUUCUCAACCGUCCUACUUGCCGCGGUCCUUAUCGUUUGCGACCCUCAGUCAUGCCGCGUCCUCUAUCCUAGGGGAGCAGCUCAAAGUUGGGAGUGGAGUAGCUUGCAGCAUUGAAAACCAUAAGCACAAUGAACUGGUAAUGGAGGCAGUCGUCAUAAUAAUAAAUAACAUGCCAAUAGACAACACUGAGUGAUUUAGGAAGUAUGGUAAUAAAACAGAAGUUUCUUAACAAGUCUCUUGGAUUUUAUGUUUUAGAAGCCAAAGGAUUGAUAUUAUCAAUGUAUUAACUAUUAAACUAACAUGUUCUGUAAUUUUAUAUUAUAGCAAUAAAUAUGUUGUAUAAUUUUUAUUGUGUUGAUGAUUUAUUGAUUGUUUUUUAUUGUGUU